UAUCACUUAAAUGUCAGAGGCAUGGUGAAUGCAAUUACUACAUCAGAAAGUAAAGCCAGAAUGGGAAUGCUGGGACCCUGACAGAGAUCUGUGGCAAUAGCUAAUAGACCUCAGUGCUUCUAGAGGGCACAAUAGGUGAUAAGUUUGAAAGCUGACAAUAGGCCACUGUUGCACUACAGCCAAUCUCAGAGAAGGCUCUGGAAGAUUGUAUGAAGAGGAAAUCUUGUGCGGUUCACUUGACCACCAGCCUUCUGUGAUGAACGAAAUGCUGCCUCCUAUUCCACCUUCAGAUCUAACUUCCUUGGUAGACACUCUCCGAUCCCCCAAACGAAUGCUGGUUGUUGAUGUUUGUGCCUACUUUAAGAGCAAUGAAAACCUCUGAAAAAGAGCUGGACUUGAGAGAAGACCUUACUAUUGAUUGGCAUGUAGAUGGUAAUGGAGAAUAAGGGGAAAUGACAGCAUAGUACCAAGCCCAAUAGGGAAGAUAACCUCCCUGAAAGAAAUUAAGAAAGAACAACCUGAACUGUAGGGAGAAACAAAGGAGAAGAAUAUGGUGUCCCCAAACCAAGAGAAAAGAAAAUUUUGAAAAAAAAAUGUUUUUGACUGUGUUGAGAGUUGAAGAGGAAAUCAUUUAACAUAUGGCCAAAGAAAAUGUCCAUUUGACUUAGCAACAGGAGUAUUUGCACCAACAGAAAUCAGUAAAUGCCCAAAUCAAGGCUUUCUUUAUUGUUUUAUUAAUUAUCUAGGCUUAAGAAAGUGAUAUUGAAAUGCUAAUAAUGCAUAUUAAACUUAAGAAUUUGUCAGUGUCUGUAGCCGUUAUAUUAUGAAUAAUACAAAAAAAUCUGUGCAUAUUCUUACAAUAUUGGAAAAUUGUCCUAUUCAACAAAGAAGUUGUUCACAUCAUUAACUCUUGAAUGUUUCAACACACAUGCUCAUUGUUGUUUUACUUUCAUCUUAUUCACUAGUAGCAAUUGAAAAAUAUUAAUCAACAUUCUUGUGGGCAAUCUAUUUUUUCAUCAAAUGCAACCACUGGUUAAUUAUGGAUACACAAAAAGCACAAAUCAGUGAAAGCAUUCUCUGAGAAUCAGCAGCUGUAGAGAAUUUACAACAAAGAAUAUUGAAUAUUUUAUUAUUAUGUACAAACAGUGGGUUCCACAUUCUUUAUGUCAAUAAAUUUUACAAUAAAAUUUACAAUAAACUUAUAUAGGUAUAUAUGCAUGCAUUUUUUUCAGUUGUUACACAUUUACCAGCAUGCCACUGUCCCUAACCAUACCAAUAAUCAGCAUAAAGCAACGC
This is a long non-coding RNA of Canis lupus familiaris (dog), 1296 nucleotides long. RefSeq lists it as uncharacterized. Lineage: Eukaryota; Metazoa; Chordata; Mammalia; Carnivora; Canidae. The transcript has 3 exons. The record is from RefSeq and is a predicted model, not a curated record.